AUUGUGUUCUGGGAAUAUGUGAACAAAUACUAAUCACUUGACUACUUUAAUAUAACAUAAGUCAAUUUGUUCCAAUACAUUUGGUCCCUUAAAAUGGAGGGACGAUGUACAAAAAGUGCUGUAAUUUGUAACGGUUCACCGAUAUGAAUGAAAAUACCCUCAAAUGAAAGCUGACAGUCUGCACAUUUAACCUUGGUGUCAUUGUGUCAUAAAUCCAAAGUGUUUGAGUAAAGAGCCAGAACAACAUGUGCUGCUGUCCUAAUGCUUUUGGAGCUCACUGUACUUCGUCUCACGAGCAUGUAGCCUAAUAGUCUAAUGACGACUACACUCAAUAUACAAAAAUGCUUUCAUGGAUUGAACUAAGAAUCUAAUUAUUUGAUGGAGGGAACUGGCCUUGCUCUAGGUUAAUGGUGAGGGAACUGGCCUUGCUCUAGGUUAAUGGUGAGGGAACUGGCCUUGCUCUAGGUUAAUGGUGGAGGGAUCUGGCCUUGCUCUAGGUUAAUGGUGGAGGGUUCUGGCCUUGCUCUAGGUUAAUGGUGAGGGAUCUGGCCUUGCUCUAGGUUAAUGGUGGAGGGUUCUGGCCUUGCUCUAGGUUAAUGGUGAGGGAUCUGGCCUUGCUCUAGGUUAAUGGUGGAGGGAACUGGCCUUGCUCUAGGUUAAUGGUGAGGGAUCUGGCCUUGCUCUAGGUUAAUGGUGAGGGAACUGGCCUUGCUCUAGGUUAAUGGUGGAGGGAUCUGGCCUUGCUCUAGGUUAAUGGUGAGGGAACUGGCCUUGCUCUAGGUUAAUGGUGAGGGAACUGGCCUUGCUCUAGGUUAAUGGUGGAGGGAUCUGGCCUUGCUCUAGGUUAAUGGUGGAGGGAUCUGGCCUUGCUCUAGGUUAAUGGUGGAGGGAUCUGGCCUUGCUCUAGGUUAAUGGUGGAGGGUUCUGGCCUUGCUCUAGGUUAAUGGUGGAGGGAUCUGGCCUUGCUCUAGGUUAAUGGUGGAGGGUUCUGGCCUUGCUCUAGGUUAAUGGUGGAGGGAUCUGGCCUUGCUCUAGGUUAAUGGUGAGGGAACUGGCCUUGCUCUAGGUUAAUGGUGAGGGAACUGGCCUUGCUCUAGGUUAAUGGUGGAGGGAACUGGCCUUGCUCUAGGUUAAUGGUGAGGGAACUGGCCUUGCUCUAGGUUAAUGGUGGAGGGAACUGGCCUUGCUCUAGGUUA
Molecule: long non-coding RNA, 1196 nt
Organism: Oncorhynchus keta (chum salmon)
Lineage: Eukaryota; Metazoa; Chordata; Actinopteri; Salmoniformes; Salmonidae
Exons: 4
Source: RefSeq, a predicted model, not a curated record